GGAGGGGUGGUCGAGUGGUUGAUGGCUCCGGUCUUGAAAACCGGCGAAUCGCAAGAUUCCGUGGGUUCGAAUCCCACCCCCUCCG
RNAcentral lists this transfer RNA (85 nucleotides) under Cyanobium gracile PCC 6307. RNAcentral's name for it is "tRNA-Ser (TGA) (tRNA-Ser-TGA-1-1)". It matches the Rfam family "tRNA". From Rfam's summary of the family: Transfer RNA (tRNA) molecules are approximately 80 nucleotides in length. Their secondary structure includes four short double-helical elements and three loops (D, anti-codon, and T loops). Further hydrogen bonds mediate the characteristic L-shaped molecular structure. tRNAs have two regions of fundamental functional importance: the anti-codon, which is responsible for specific mRNA codon recognition, and the 3' end, to which the tRNAs corresponding amino acid is attached (by aminoacyl-tRNA synthetases). tRNAs cope with the degeneracy of the genetic code in two manners: having more than one tRNA (with a specific anti-codon) for a particular amino acid; and 'wobble' base-pairing, i.e. permitting non-standard base-pairing at the 3rd anti-codon position. RNAcentral also lists the same sequence under 18 other names. Lineage: Bacteria; Bacillati; Cyanobacteriota; Cyanophyceae; Synechococcales; Prochlorococcaceae. The record is from RNAcentral.